This 503-nucleotide long non-coding RNA is filed under the name Trifolium pratense (red clover). Its description in RNAcentral is "long non-coding RNA (TPRA_LNC011428)". Lineage: Eukaryota; Viridiplantae; Streptophyta; Magnoliopsida; Fabales; Fabaceae. The record is from RNAcentral.
AAACAGUCCCACCAUUGUUAUGUGUUCUGGAUAUUGUGAUUCACUUGUGCCACCAAGGAUUGAAUAUAACAGCUAUGAUAUGGUAGAUUGGGCUGAUACGUUUCUGAUUUCAUCUGAGGCUACUCAUUUGGUUCCUACCUCUCUUUGAUUUUCAUGAUGUCUGUUGCUGCAUUUUAUGUCACUUUUGGAGGUUCAAAAAUGGAUACAGGUUUUAGUCUAAUUGGAAGGUCACUUGCUACAGAAUAUGGAAGGUGUUAUGAGGCUAGUUGCGCAGAUUUUAUGUUACUUGCUUGGGGUCUAUGGUUUACAUGACUGUAUUACAAGCCAAUAUUCAAUGCUUUGUUUGUCUUUAGUUUUGUAAUUCAAACUCAAAUUGGUGAAUUUCCCGAUGUUGAGUUUGAGGGAGACUGUUAAGAAUAUUGAUUGUUAGCCAAAGCUCCCUUUAGUUAGUUACAUUUACCAUUAGGUGAUUAGUUUGUUAGAGUUGAUUAAUAGUUGGUUAA